Molecule: ribosomal RNA, 495 nt
Filed under: uncultured bacterium
Lineage: Bacteria
Description: partial 16S ribosomal RNA
Rfam family: Bacterial small subunit ribosomal RNA
Source: RNAcentral
GACGAACGCUGGCGGCGUGCCUAAUACAUGCAAGUAGAACGCUGAAGGAGGAGCUUGCUUCUCUGGAUGAGUUGCGAACGGGUGAGUAACGCGUAGGUAACCUGCCUGGUAGCGGGGGAUAACUAUUGGAAACGAUAGCUAAUACCGCAUAAGAGUAGAUGUCGCAUGACAUUUGCUUAAAAGGUGCAAUUGCAUCACUACCAGAUGGACCUGCGUUGUAUUAGCUAGUUGGUGAGGUAACGGCUCACCAAGGCAACGAUACAUAGCCGACCUGAGAGGGUGAUCGGCCACACUGGGACUGAGACACGGCCCAGACUCCUACGGGAGGCAGCAGUAGGGAAUCGUCGGCAAUGGACGGAAGUCUGACCGAGCAACGCCGCGUGAGUGAAGAAGGUUUUCGGAUCGUAAAGCUCUGUUGUAAGAGAAGAACGAGUGUGAGAGUGGAAAGUUCACACUGUGACGGUAUCUUACCAGAAAGGGACGGCUAACUACGUG